AAGAGAGAAGAAGAGAAUUUAUUAACCUGAGGCAGAGACAGCUGUCAGUGGCCGAAUAUGAGAAGGAAUUUGUUCGAUUAAGCCGCUAUGGAAGGGAGAUAGUCCCUAAUGAAGCUGAAAGGUGCAAGAGAUUUGAAGAGGGAUUGAACGACAAUAUAAAGCUCAUGAUCACUGUCUUGGGAAUCACUGAUUUCACCAAGCUAGUGGAAGCUGCAUUAAAAGUGGAGAAAGUGAGAAUAAAUGAACAAAAUAGGAAAGAUAGGCAGCGUAAGAGGGAAUUUGGACCAGGACAGUCAAGUAUACCAACUGAUAGUAAGAAGUUUAAGGGUUCUAGUUUACAAGAUCAGACACAGGGCCACAGAGGCCAGAUUGGAAUAUCUAUAGCUAGUUCCCCGGGCACAAUAACAAGGGGAUUAACCCCAGUGCCUGAAUGUAUGCAUUGUGGUAGAAGACAUAGAGGGGAGUGUCGACUGUUAACUGGAGAGUGUUUUAAGUGUGGGGCUACGGAUCAUUUCAUAAGAGAUUGCCCUCAGAGGAGUGGUUCAAUAGCUCCGGUACAAGUUGAUAGACCUUCCCCUGUAGUUCAAAGGGGUAAAAGAUCGGGUAGAGCAGAAACGGCUGACAUUUCACAGAAGAUUGUUUCUGAGACAGUUGAAAAGCCCGAAGUCAGGGUGGCACCACAAGUAUAUGCUAUGGAAGCUCAGGAAGAGCCAAACCCAGACACUGAUGAGGCGAUACAAGGAAAUGAAGAAACAAGAAGGUAGCAACUCCCCGAUUACUUAAGUCAGGUACUGAAGAUUGGACAGAGGGCCAGUAGACCACAGAUUUGGUAAGACAGUUCACAGUUCUGCAUAGUGUCCG
RNAcentral lists this unclassified non-coding RNA (861 nucleotides) under Hevea brasiliensis (rubber tree). The record is from RNAcentral. Lineage: Eukaryota; Viridiplantae; Streptophyta; Magnoliopsida; Malpighiales; Euphorbiaceae.